ACUGGGAAGUGUAGUGCCGGUGAGGGAGGCGGGGUCCCGCGGGGCAUGCCGGGAGGUGCAGUCCCGCUCCCUCAGCCCGGCCGUGGGAGCUCCUCAGCCCCAGCCUGGGGGCCCGGGAGGCUGCAGCGCCCCGGCCCGGGCUCUGCACCCGCUCUCGGCCUCUUCCAGGCGAGCAGGCCCUGGGCUUCGGCCCAGCUCGCGAAGAUGCUCGGCUCUCCCCUGGCAAAUGAACACACGAGCAGGCAGAACUGACAUGGCCGCUGCCCUGUCCCAGCACAGCCCAGCACCGAGACCUCCAGGCUCUGCUAUUUCAAGUUCAGCUGCACACUGUGAGGCCCAGGGGACAAAUUACCUGAGAAGGCUUUAUACUCAAAAUGAAUACAUAAAUCUGCUAUAGGCCUAUUGCAAAUGAGGUUAUUAAAAUUAAAGUGUCCAAUUCUUAAA
Molecule: long non-coding RNA, 444 nt
Organism: Parus major (Great Tit)
Lineage: Eukaryota; Metazoa; Chordata; Aves; Passeriformes; Paridae
Exons: 2
Source: RefSeq, a predicted model, not a curated record